UCGGGAAUUUUGGGCAAUGGGCGAAAGCCUGACCCAGCAACGCCGCGUGAGGGAUGAGGUAUUUCGGUAUGUAAACCUCGAAAGAAUGGGAAGAAUAAAUGACGGUACCAUUUAUAAGCUCCGGCUAACUACGUGCCAGCAGCCGCGGUAAUACGUAGGGAGCAAGCGUUGUUCGGAUUUACUGGGCGUAAAGGGCGCGUAGGCGGCGCGGUAAGUCACUUGUGAAAUCUCUGAGCUUAACUCAGAACGGCCAAGUGAUACUGCUGUGCUAGAGUGCGGAAGAGGCAACCGGAAUUCUUGGUGUAGCGGUGAAAUGCGUAGAUAUCAAGAGGAACACCUGAGGCGAAGGCGGGUUGCUGGGCCGACACUGACGCUGAUGCGCGAAAGCCAGGGGAGCAAAC
RNAcentral lists this ribosomal RNA (401 nucleotides) under uncultured bacterium. RNAcentral's name for it is "bacterial SSU rRNA". It matches the Rfam family "Bacterial small subunit ribosomal RNA", at positions 355 to 773 of the family's 1533-position model. The record is from RNAcentral.